Molecule: non-coding RNA, 384 nt
Organism: Cinara cedri
Lineage: Eukaryota; Metazoa; Arthropoda; Insecta; Hemiptera; Aphididae
Source: the annotation of a GenBank genome assembly
GUAAUUCAAUGUACGGCCACGUUUAUAAUAUCAACUUUACCGGUCUGCCGGAAUCGCCUAAACAACCGUAGUUCGUGUACUGCUCGCUCGUUCUAAAUAUUGAUAAUACUUAUCAUCAAUUAUAAUAUUAUUAUAAUCGCGUGUCAUGCGGAGGACAAACGCUGUCGUCGCCUCUGGUGGGCCGCCGAAAUAUUAAACGCGAGCUGCGGUUCCGGAGGAAGAGGCUUCCCCGUCCGUGUGUACAUGUAUAAUUUAUUAUUAUAAGUGGUACAACAAUUAUACGGGGUGAUCAAUCAUCGAUGGAACUCUCAUUAUCUCGGAAUGUAUUAACUUCUUUUCGAACAGCUUAAGAAAGAAGCGCAGCUCCAAAAUGUUACGUCGCCG